This 1712-nucleotide long non-coding RNA is filed under the name Triticum aestivum (bread wheat). Its description in RNAcentral is "long non-coding RNA (TAES_LNC000950)". The record is from RNAcentral. Lineage: Eukaryota; Viridiplantae; Streptophyta; Magnoliopsida; Poales; Poaceae.
AAAACAAAUUUCGGCUGCCAAAGAAACUUUGAAAAGGGGCACUGUUGAGACCCGAUUUAGUUUAGAUUGCUCAGACACUGUCAAACUGCAAAGGCAUACUUUACUGCCUUCAUUCUCAGACACAUUAUUGUCUAGAUUGCUCUGGCACUGUCAAACUGCAAAGGUAUAAUCUCACAGGCAUCUUUUAUAGAAGUACUCAUGGCAUGAUGGUGUAGGUUUCUCUGUCAGUUUGCAUUGCAUCAACAUAAAGUGAUGUACUGGCUUAUGAUUUUAGUUUCAUUAUUAGCAAGAACAUAGGAUUAAUACUGUUUAUGUGUGUUUAGAUGUUGGUAUCAUGUGGUGCUGUGUUGCUACUGAUGGUAGGCAAUUAAUCUUGCACGGGCAGUUUAUGAAGCAUUCUCCGAGAUUUGGCCAGCACAGCUUAUCCUUUUUACAGCAGAAUGGCUGGCCUAGGACCUGGUGCACGUCCUUGUAACAAGGAGGUCGGACUACGUGGCUUACUUUGAUCUUCCUGUUGAUCUCCUUGUUGCUUAUGCCUUCACAUAACAUGCAUAAAAGAAAGAAUUAAAAGACUUAUCCUCUCAACAUACAAAAGAAAAAGGGUAUAUAGCACAUAUCUGUACACCUAGAAUUUUGUUUUCUGGUUAAGAAAACCCAAUACAGUCAAUAACAAAACGACAUAAAAGAAAACAAAGCCAACAAUCUAUUCCUCAAUAAAACGAACUUUCAUUUGUUAAUUACCAUCUGUGUAUCCAAGAUGGGCAAAACACACCACUGGAAUUACAGAAAGUAUCACAAAUCCUUGGACACUGUUCCUCAUAUACUUGGCCAUCAUUGCUGAGGUAAUGUGGGGUACUCUUGUAAGUGGGACUGACGAGUGUAUGACCAUCAAAUGCUCCAUGGUUCAUAUAUAUAGGAAAAGCUUGUUGGCAUUCACACGGCAGUUAUAGAAAAUAUUAACGUUUGGAGGUAAGGCAUGUCUAAACAUCCAAUUUAAGUUACGCUACUAAAGAAUUUUUUUGAACGGUCACCGGGGGGGGAGAGGAUCCCCACCUGAAUGUAUUGCUCAAAAAGCUGCCAAAGCCAAGAGUCACCCCUUAACUUUGGCUGAUCCAGUUUAUAAGGGAAACCGGAUCGAAAACCUAAACAAGUUGACCCCGUUUAUGAGGGAAACCGAGCCGAAAAACCGCACAGGUAACAAGGUUACAGAAGAUGAGAAAAAAUGCCACCCAAGAGAAGGCUACUAAAGAUGGCUGAUGCGUUUUUCAUUUCUUUCAUGAAAACUGAUGUCUUAUCAUAAUGUCUAAGUUUAGUGACAUUUAAUUGAUAGCUAAAAACUACAGUUGCUGGGAAAAAAAAGAACAGAAAAGCGACAGCACACCACAUAAUUUUGGAACACCAGCCAAGGAACCACAGUAGAUUACCAUGGGGAGUUGGGAGCAUAGGUCACAGCUGCUGCAUAAACUAGCUCGCUAGAAAUGCAUCUCUUGUAUGAGUAAUUAACCUGGACAGAGCAAAAUACUAUGUACAAUUAGCAGAUAAUGCAAGCACAUGGCGAGGUUAACUUGUAAUUACCAAGUGACCACCCAAGAAAUAGCUACAGAUUCCAAGAAGAGUGAAAGAACUCACUGCAGCCAAAAGAGCAGACCCCAUGGCAGCUACAGAUGGCACAAAAUGGACUUUGCUUCUGAACCAUUCAGCUAUAGCCGGAA